This 555-nucleotide ribosomal RNA is filed under the name Blastocystis sp. RNAcentral describes it as "SSU rRNA". It matches the Rfam family "Eukaryotic small subunit ribosomal RNA", at positions 14 to 581 of the family's 1831-position model. The record is from RNAcentral. Lineage: Eukaryota; Bigyra; Opalinata; Blastocystidae.
CUGCCAGUAGUCAUACGCUCGUCUCAAAGAUUAAGCCAUGCAUGUGUAAGUAUAAAUAAUUCUACUUUGAAACUGCGAAUGGCUCAUUAUAUCAGUUAUAGUUUAUUAGAAAUAGUGUACUACUUGGAUAACCGUAGUAAUUCUAGGGCUAAUACAUGAGUAAAUCCUCGACUUUUGAAGAGGUGUGUUUAUUAGUAUGAAAACCAUAUGCUUUUGCAUGAUAGUGAGUAAUAAUAACCUUUCAUAUCGCCUGUUUUAAAUAGCGAUAGUUCUUUCAAGUUUCUGCCCUAUCAGCUUUCGAUGGUAGUGUAUUGGACUACCAUGGCAGUAACGGGUAACGAAGAAUUUGGGUUCGAUUUCGGAGAGGGAGCCUGAGAGAUGGCUACCACAUCCAAGGAAGGCAGCAGGCGCGUAAAUUACCCAAUCCUGACAUAGGGAGGUAGUGACAAUAAAUCACAAUGCGGGACUAUUUAGUUUUGCAAUUGAAUUGAGAACAAUGUACAAGAGUUAUCGAUAAACAAUUGGAGGGCAAGUCUGGUGCCAGCAGCCGCGGUA